UAAUACAUGCAAGUCGAGCGGACAGAAGGGAGCUUGCUCCCGGAUGUUAGCGGCGGACGGGUGAGUAACACGUGGGUAACCUGCCUGUAAGACUGGGAUAACUCCGGGAAACCGGAGCUAAUACCGGAUAGUUCCUUGAACCGCAUGGUUCAAGGAUGAAAGACGGUUUCGGCUGUCACUUACAGAUGGACCCGCGGCGCAUUAGCUAGUUGGUGAGGUAACGGCUCACCAAGGCGACGAUGCGUAGCCGACCUGAGAGGGUGAUCGGCCACACUGGGACUGAGACACGGCCCAGACUCCUACGGGAGGCAGCAGUAGGGAAUCUUCCGCAAUGGACGAAAGUCUGACGGAGCAACGCCGCGUGAGUGAUGAAGGUUUUCGGAUCGUAAAGCUCUGUUGUUAGGGAAGAACAAGUGCAAGAGUAACUGCUUGCACCUUGACGGUACCUAACCAGAAAGCCACGGCUAACUACGUGCCAGCACG
This 483-nucleotide ribosomal RNA is filed under the name Bacillus pumilus. RNAcentral describes it as "bacterial SSU rRNA". It matches the Rfam family "Bacterial small subunit ribosomal RNA", at positions 49 to 515 of the family's 1533-position model. The record is from RNAcentral. Lineage: Bacteria; Bacillati; Bacillota; Bacilli; Caryophanales; Bacillaceae.